This 253-nucleotide ribosomal RNA is filed under the name uncultured bacterium. Its description in RNAcentral is "partial 16S ribosomal RNA". It matches the Rfam family "Bacterial small subunit ribosomal RNA", at positions 524 to 776 of the family's 1533-position model. The record is from RNAcentral.
UACAGAGGGUGCGAGCGUUAAUCGGAAUUACUGGGCGUAAAGCGUGCGUAGACGGUUAUUUAAGUCGGGUGUGAAAGCCCCGGGCUCAACCUGGGAAUUGCAUUCGAGACUGAAUAGCUAGGGUACGGUAGAGGGAAGCGGAAUUUCCGGUGUAGCGGUGAAAUGCGUAGAUAUCGGAAGGAACAUCAGUGGCGAAAGCGGCUUCCUGGACCAGUACCGACGUUCAGGCACGAAAGCUAGGGGAGCAAACGGG